GUACGGAAGGCAGCAGUAGGGAAUAUUGGGCAAUGGACGCAAGUCUGACCCAGCCAUGCCGCGUGCAGGAAGAAUCACCUAUGGUGUGUAAACUGCUUUUUUACGGGAAGAAACCCCUGGAUGCGUCCGGGGCUGACGGUACCGUAAGAAUAAGGAUCGGCUAACUUCGUGCCAGCAGCCGCGGUAAGACGAAGGAUCCAAGCGUUGUCCGGAUUUACUGGGUUUAAAGGGUGCGUAGGCGGAACUUUAAGUCAGUGGUGAAAGCCUCCCGCUUAACGGGAGAACUGCCAUUGAAACUGAUUUUCUUGAAUACAGUGGAGGUAGAUGGGAUAUAACAUGUAGCGGUGAAAUGCUUAGAUAUGUUAUAGAACACCAAUUGCGAAGGCAGUCUGCUACACUGUGAUUGACGCUGAGGCACGAAAGCGUGGGGAGCAAACAGGAUUAGAUACCCCAGUAGUCCC
This 461-nucleotide ribosomal RNA is filed under the name uncultured bacterium. RNAcentral describes it as "bacterial SSU rRNA". It matches the Rfam family "Bacterial small subunit ribosomal RNA", at positions 339 to 797 of the family's 1533-position model. The record is from RNAcentral.